UGGGGAAUAUUGCACAAUGGAGGGAACUCUGAUGCAGCGACGCCGCGUGAGUGAUGAAGGAAUUCGUUUCGUAAAACUCUGUUCUAUGGGAAGAAAAGGACUGUACCAUAGGAGAAAGCUCCGGCUAAAUACGUGCCAGCAGCCGCGGUAAUACGUAUGGAGCGAGCGUUGUCCGGAAUUAUUGGGCGUAAAGGGUGCGCAGGCGGCUUUACAAGUUGGAUGUGAAAUAUUGUGGCUCAACCACAAACGUGCAUCCAAAACUGCAAAGCUUGAGUGAAGGAGAGGUAAGUGGAAUUCCUGGUGUAGCGGUGGAAUGCGUAGAUAUCAGGAGGAAUACCGGUGGCGAAGGCGACUUACUGGACUUAAACUGACGCUCAGGCACGAAAGCGUGGGGAGCAAACAGG
This 404-nucleotide ribosomal RNA is filed under the name Fusobacteriota bacterium. Its description in RNAcentral is "Fusobacteria bacterium partial 16S ribosomal RNA". It matches the Rfam family "Bacterial small subunit ribosomal RNA", at positions 355 to 776 of the family's 1533-position model. Lineage: Bacteria; Fusobacteriati; Fusobacteriota. The record is from RNAcentral.